ACCAUCCCACAAUGCCUGCCCUGGCUGCACAUCAGGUGUACAAAAGUGGGAUGUACCCAAUUUUGGCAUCAGGCUGUCAGGAGAGGGAGUUCAGAGUGACUUGGUGAAUUCAGAUCUCCAAACCUAUGGGUAUUUUACUGCCCUAAAUCACCUGCUUACCUGGCUCUGUCCAGAAACCAUUGUGCCCAGGCCAGGAGGAGUCCAGAGAGGCAGGAGGAGCUUUUCUUCAUCUCCUGUUUGAUCUGCAGUCACCCGACACCACCAUCAGCCUUUCACUGCUCUUUGCUGCAGCUGCUGGGAGGAGCCCAGGUGUGGUGAGGGUGAGAAACCAGCUGAGCUGCCCUGGGCAGGCUGAGGGCCUGUGGGGUGCUGAGGGUUACACUUGGCUGAGCAAGGAGCCAGGUCUGCUCCUGUGCAAGGGGAAGUCCUUCUACUGCUUCCUCCUUCCUGACACCUUUGCCUGCUGUUUACUGAGACUGCCUGCAAGCAAGAGCAGAACAAACCUGCCAAGGAUGCAACAGCCCCCCUGGGAUUUCCCACUUUGUCAAAAGCUGCCAAGUUGCAGGUGGGAGAAGCACGCUGGCAAUGAUGUCAUGGCUGCUACACUCAUCCCUGCUGAUGCCUUUUAAAGCAGUAUUUCCACAUGAAAAAAAAGAGACAAAUGCAAACCACAUGACAAGGGAAGCAGAGGAUGUAAAGAGGGAAGCAGAGCUGCCUCCUAAAGCAAUCUGCAGGACUUGCUUCUCUGUUCUCCUGCCUCUCCCCUUAGACACACUGUGAACAGGGUCCAGAUGUGGCUGGGUGUGGAUGUCACCUGUCCCAUUCCCUUGGUUUGUGUGUUGGCAGAGGGCACUUCCAGCUGUCACCCUGUCCUGGUGUCAGCUAGGACAGAGUUAAUUUCUUCUUAGUAGCUGUCACAGUGCUGUGUUUUGGAGUCAGAAUAAGAAAAGGGUUGAUAGCACACUGAUCUUUUGGGUUUCUGCUAUGUUUUGUCAAGAACUGGGUUUUUCUCUUGUCUUAUGGACUUGGCUUUGACAGUGAGGAGGUUCACAGAAGAAUCUGGGAGGGAGAGUAGUUGGGACUCAGGUGACCUCAACCGACCAAAGGGAUAUUCCACAACACAGAAUAUAAUCAUGCCCAGUUUACAAACUAGGGAAGUUUCCUGGAAGAGCAUCCGGUCUGGACUCAGGAAUCAGUUCUGGCAUUGAUCAGCAGGUGGUGAGGAAUUGCAUCAUGCAUCACUUGUUUUCUCCCUUUUUAUUAUCAUUAUCAUUUACCAUUAUUGCUGUAUUUUACUUUAUUCUCAAUGAUUAAACAGCUUUUAUCUCAAC
Molecule: long non-coding RNA, 1331 nt
Filed under: Junco hyemalis (dark-eyed junco)
Lineage: Eukaryota; Metazoa; Chordata; Aves; Passeriformes; Passerellidae
Description: lncRNA (ENSJHYG00000012507.1)
Source: RNAcentral